Molecule: ribosomal RNA, 921 nt
Filed under: Triticum aestivum (bread wheat)
Lineage: Eukaryota; Viridiplantae; Streptophyta; Magnoliopsida; Poales; Poaceae
Description: partial small subunit ribosomal RNA
Source: RNAcentral
AUGGUGUGCAGCAUGUGUCGCGCCCUUUUGCUCCUUGGCCUCUUCCUGAUCCUGACGCCGCUGGUGUGUGGGUACACCGACGGCGGGUUCAGCGUGGAGCUCAUCCACCGGGACUCCCCCAGGUCGCCGUUCCACGACCCGUCGCUCACCCCGCACGGCCGCGUGCUUGCCGCCGUGCGGCGCUCGUACGCCGGCUCAGGCUCUCCUGACCCUGACGGCGCGGUGUCGGAGGUGAUCUCAGGCACGUUCCAGUUCUUCAUGUACAUGAGCGCGGCGACGUCGCUCGGCCGGAGGUUCUCCUACUGCCUCGUGCCCUACUUAAGCGACGCGUCCUCGGCACUCAACUUCGGGUCCCGCGCCACCGUGACGGAGCCGGGCGCGGUGAGCACGCCGAUGGUCCACUCCCCCGUGCACGUGGAGGCUUCCUACACAGUCGAAAUCAUGGCCCUUAGGGUUGGGAACUCGAUCAUCAAGCUGCCGAAUUCGAAGCGGUCCCCCGUCAUCGUCGACUCCGGGUCGAUGCUGACGUCCCUCGACGGGGAGCUGCUGGACCCCAUCGUGGAGGCGCUCACCCGGAGCAUCAAGCUCCCGCGCAAGCAGUCGCCCAACCCGGAGCUGUUUUCGGUGUGCUAUGAGGCGGACGGCAUGAAGGCGCUGGAGAAGGUUUUCCCGGACGUCACCUUGGAGCUGGGCGGGGGCGCCUUGGUCACGCUCAAGGCAGAGAACGUGUUCAUGGACCUUCUGCUACAGACCGUGUGCUUGGCCAUCGUUCCAGUGAAGUACGAGGGUUCGGUUCCGACGAUCGGCAGCGUCAUGCAGCACAACAUGCAUGUCGGCUACGACCUCGACAAGCGCACCAUCACCUUCGCCCCUGCCGACUGCGCCACCUCUUACCCUUCUCCUCCCGCCUCUCUUGUGUAG